GCACUGCUGAUGAGACCCAACUGGGUUGAAACAGCUGUCCAGUGC
This 45-nucleotide non-coding RNA is filed under the name Echinostoma caproni. Lineage: Eukaryota; Metazoa; Platyhelminthes; Trematoda; Plagiorchiida; Echinostomatidae. The record is from RNAcentral.